Molecule: unclassified non-coding RNA, 205 nt
Filed under: Hevea brasiliensis (rubber tree)
Lineage: Eukaryota; Viridiplantae; Streptophyta; Magnoliopsida; Malpighiales; Euphorbiaceae
Source: RNAcentral
GUGUUGCUAAACCUACACUAGAAUACUCAAUAACACCAGUUGUAGUAAUAUUCAAACAUUCAUUUUCACUUCUACUAGUAGGCUGGUUUUCAGGCUGAAGUUCUUCAUGCACCAUUGAAGAGAGAGUAAAUUCUCCAUUUUCCUGUGUGAAAUCGUCCCAAUCAUCCAAACCAAAGGCUAUUGCCGAACCCAUAACCAACUUAUU